Molecule: ribosomal RNA, 253 nt
Filed under: uncultured bacterium
Lineage: Bacteria
Description: partial 16S ribosomal RNA
Rfam family: Bacterial small subunit ribosomal RNA
Source: RNAcentral
GACGGAGGGGGCUAGCGUUGUUCGGAAUUACUGGGCGUAAAGGGCGCGUAGGCGGCUCUUCAAGUUAGGCGUGAAAGUCCUGGGCUUAACCUAGGAAUAGCGUUUAAUACUGGAGAGCUAGAGAUUGGUAGAGGGAAAUGGAAUUCCUAGUGUAGAGGUGAAAUUCGUAGAUAUUAGGAAGAACACCAGAGGCGAAGGCGGUUUCCUGGGCCAAUACUGACGCUGAGGCGCGAAAGCGUGGGGAGCAAACAGG